This 602-nucleotide ribosomal RNA is filed under the name uncultured Alphaproteobacteria bacterium. Its description in RNAcentral is "bacterial SSU rRNA". It matches the Rfam family "Bacterial small subunit ribosomal RNA", at positions 8 to 646 of the family's 1533-position model. The record is from RNAcentral. Lineage: Bacteria; Pseudomonadati; Pseudomonadota; Alphaproteobacteria.
AGAGUUUGAUCAUGGCUCAGAACGAACGCUGGCGGCAGGCCUAACACAUGCAAGUCGAGCGAGAAGCUACCUUCGGGUAGUGGACAGCGGCAGACGGGUGAGUAACGCGUGGGAACGUACCCUUUGGUUCGGAACAACUCCGGGAAACUGGAGCUAAUACCGGAUAAGCCCUCCGGGGGAAAGAUUUAUCGCCGAAGGAUCGGCCCGCGUCUGAUUAGCUUGUUGGUGGGGUAAUGGCCUACCAAGGCGACGAUCAGUAGCUGGUCUGAGAGGAUGAUCAGCCACACUGGGACUGAGACACGGCCCAGACUCCUACGGGAGGCAGCAGUGGGGAAUAUUGGACAAUGGGCGCAAGCCUGAUCCAGCCAUGCCGCGUGAGUGAUGACGGCCCUAGGGUUGUAAAGCUCUUUCGGCGGGGAAGAUAAUGACGGUACCCGCAGAAGAAGCCCCGGCUAACUUCGUGCCAGCAGCCGCGGUAAUACGAAGGGGGCUAGCGUUGUUCGGAAUCACUGGGCGUAAAGCGCACGUAGGCGGAUUGUUAAGUCAGGGGUGAAAUCCCGAGGCUCAACCUCGGAACUGCCCUUGAUACUGGCAAUCUUGAG